CUGGAUUUCCGUAAUCCAGUUUUCCAAUUUCCAGUUGAACUUGUUGACUGAAGUUGAGUACGACACUACAACGACAGUGUGAAGUCUUGCCAGGGAUUUUGAAUGCUGAGCAAUGAAGAAGCUGAGGUUUUGCUCGUAAAGAAACUUGCAACAGAGACCAAGAUACAAAAGCUCUAGUAGAGUCCUUUCAAAUUGAGCCCGCUAUUCCGAAGGAAACUGAAAGGACCCAGUGACUUAUGUGAUACACAUUGACUUCAGGAAUUAAAGAACAAACAAGCAGAAGCAACCCUGAAGAGGGUUUGAACAAACAAAAGGCUAAAUUAUCCAGUUUGAAAAAAUGUAUUAUUCUACUUUUAAUACUUUAAAGGGUUGUGAAUGCUGAGCAAGUUGAAGCUUUGCUAUCUUCAAGAGACCUUGACGCAAAAGCUCGGGCUCUUUUAGGCCUCUCAUAUUCAGCCCAACAUCCAGAAGGCAACAAAUUAUAUCCAGUUUGAAGUGACGAGACUAGUUCACUUCAGGAAAAGAGGAGGAAACCUUUAGGAGGGAUGACGCAAUACGACAACUUUCAAGAGAAAUACGUGGUGAAGAAACUUCAUGGAAGGAGGAAGAUAAACAUGGUAGAGGAAUGAAGGAAGUUGACAAUUUUGAAGAAAAAACCAAGCAAAAUACUUUGGGGUGAAGAAAAACCACGAGGAAAGGAGGAAGAAAAACCACGAAGAGGAUAUUGGUAGAGACUACAACUUUAGACGAAAUAAAAAAAAGUUUGGGUUGUUGAACAAUAACUGUUUCUGACAAACAAAUAUUUCUGGAAGUAAUGAACUAUGCUUUGCAGAUUUUUUCUUUUCACUUUUGUUAUAUAUACAGAUAAGUUACAUAUGUAUAUACAUGUUUAAGAAUGACCUCAAAGAUAUAAU
Long non-coding RNA from Macrobrachium nipponense, 914 nucleotides. RefSeq lists it as uncharacterized. The transcript is spliced from 3 exons. NCBI's taxonomy places the organism in Eukaryota, Metazoa, Arthropoda, Malacostraca, Decapoda, Palaemonidae. The record is from RefSeq and is a predicted model, not a curated record.